Molecule: ribosomal RNA, 443 nt
Filed under: uncultured bacterium
Lineage: Bacteria
Description: partial 16S ribosomal RNA
Rfam family: Bacterial small subunit ribosomal RNA
Source: RNAcentral
CCUACGGGUGGCUGCAGUGGGGAAUAUUGCACAAUGGGGGAAACCCUGAUGCAGCAACGCCGCGUGGGUGAAGGAGCGUUUCGGCGCGUAAAGCUCUAUCAGCAGGGAAGAAAGAAAUGACGGUACCUGAGUAAGAAGCCCCGGCUAACUACGUGCCAGCAGCCGCGGUAAUACGUAGGGGGCAAGCGUUAUCCGGAAUUACUGGGUGUAAAGGGAGCGUAGACGGUAAUGCAAGUCUGGAGUGAAAGGCGGGGGCCCAACCCCCGGACUGCUCUGGAAACUGUGUAACUGGAGUGCAGGAGAGGCAGGCGGAAUUCCUAGUGUAGCGGUGAAAUGCGUAGAUAUUAGGAGGAACACCAGUGGCGAAGGCGGCCUGCUGGACUGUAACUGACGUUGAGGCUCGAAAGCGUGGGGAGCAAACAGGAUUAGAUACCCGGGUAGUC